RNAcentral lists this long non-coding RNA (200 nucleotides) under Physcomitrium patens. RNAcentral describes it as "long non-coding RNA (PPAT_LNC008073)". The record is from RNAcentral. Lineage: Eukaryota; Viridiplantae; Streptophyta; Bryopsida; Funariales; Funariaceae.
AAACUAAGAAAAUUGAAUGACGUCUUUUAUAUACUCAAAAUCAAGAAAAAUCUCUUUUUGGUGAAUAAACUAAUUUCAUAUGGUUGUUUAAGAUGCAAUUUGAUAAUAAUGGAUAUUUUAUAAAGAUGUUAGAUAGAGAUGAUGUUGAUAAGGGCUUUUGAAAUGGCAACAUCUACUUUAUCAAGCAUAAAAAAGUAAAU